This 1360-nucleotide ribosomal RNA is filed under the name gut metagenome. RNAcentral describes it as "bacterial LSU rRNA". It matches the Rfam family "Bacterial large subunit ribosomal RNA", at positions 613 to 1996 of the family's 2925-position model. The record is from RNAcentral.
GAAUGAGCCGGCGAGUUGCUUUUUCAGGCGAGGCUAAGCAGGAUAUGCGGAGCCGAAGCGAAAGCGAGUCUUAAGAGGGCGAGCAGUCUGAAGGAGCAGACCCGAAACCGGGUGAUCUAGCCAUGGACAGGUUGAAGUCGGGGUAAGACCCGAUGGAGGACCGAACCGACCCCCGUUGAAACGUUGGCGGAUGAUCCGUGGCUAGAGGUGAAAUUCCAAACGAACCCGGAGAUAGCUGGUUCUCCCCGAAAUAGCUUUAGGGCUAGCGUCGCGAGACGGCAUGCGAAGGUAGAGCACUGAAUAUGCGAUGGCCUCAUCCCGAGGUACUGAGCAUAAUCAAACUCCGAAUGUCGCACGUCCAGUCGCGGCAGUCAGUCCGCGGGUGAUAAGGUCCGCGGACAAGAGGGAAACAGCCCAGACCAUCAGCUAAGGUCCCAAAGUGCAUGCUAAGUGGAAAAGGAAGUGGAGACGUGCAGACAACUAGGAGGUUGGCUCAGAAGCAGCCAUCCUUCAAAGAGUGCGUAACAGCUCACUAGUCGAAUGACUCUGCGCCGAUAAUUGACCGGGGCUAAGCAUGACACCGAAGCUAUGGAUUCGAAAGAAUGGUAGGGGAGCGUUCCAUGCGGCGAAGAAGCGCGACCGAGAGGGCGCGAGGAGCGCAUGGAAGAGAGAAUGCCGGCGUGAGUAGCGAGACGUGGGUGAGAAUCCCACGCACCGAUGGCCCAAGGUUUCCAGAGGAAGGUUCGUCCGCUCUGGGAGAGUCGGGACCUAAGGAGAGGCCGAAAGGCGUAUCCGAUGGACGACGGGUGGAGAUUCCCGUACCCCAUCGAGAGCGAGGGAGUGACGGAGACGGCAGGAGCGACCGGCUGACGGAAUAGCCGGGGCAAGCGAAGCAGCCGCGCAGCAGGCAAAUCCGCUGCGCAUAAGGCGAGGGCGUGAAGCAUACGGAAAGCUGCGGCAAGUACGGAAAAGCUCUGGGACGUCUUCCAGGAAAAGCUUCUAGCAUAUCGAGAUGGGCCCGUACCGAAAAUGGACACACAUGGGCAAGGAGAGGAUCCUGAGGUGAGCGAGAGAACUAUAGCUAAGGAACUCUGCAAAAUGACCCCGUAACCUAGGGAGAAGGGGUGCUCGUCAAAGACGAGCCGCAGAAAAACGGCCCAAGCGACUGUUUACCAAAAACACAGCUCUCUGCUAAAUCGAAAGAUGACGUAUAGGGGGUGACGCCUGCCCGGUGCUGGAAGGUUAAGAGGAGAUGUCAGGCAACGAAGCAUUGAAUCGAAGCCCCAGUAAACGGCGGCCGUAACUAUAACGGUCCUAAGGUAGCGAAAUUCCUUGUCAGGUAAGUUCUGACCCGCACGAA